AAUCCUACGGGAGGCAGCAGUGGGGGAUAUUGCACAAUGGAGGGAACCCUGAUGCAGCGACGCCGCGUGAGCGAUGAAGUAUUUCGGUAUGUAAAGCUCUAUCAGCAGGGAAGAAAAUGACGGUACCUGACUAAGAAGCCCCGGCUAACUACGUGCCAGCAGCCGCGGUAAUACGUAGGGGGCAAGCGUUAUCCGGAUUUACUGGGUGUAAAGGGAGCGUAGACGGAGGAGCAAGUCUGAUGUGAAAAUCCGGGGCCCAACCCCGGAACUGCAUUGGAAACUGUUUAUC
RNAcentral lists this ribosomal RNA (289 nucleotides) under uncultured bacterium. Its description in RNAcentral is "partial 16S ribosomal RNA". It matches the Rfam family "Bacterial small subunit ribosomal RNA", at positions 335 to 641 of the family's 1533-position model. The record is from RNAcentral.